Potamilus streckersoni is the source of this 73-nucleotide non-coding RNA. Lineage: Eukaryota; Metazoa; Mollusca; Bivalvia; Unionida; Unionidae. The record is from the annotation of a GenBank genome assembly.
GGCUCCGUUGGCCUAUUGGUAGAGCGUCCACCUCUGAUGCUGGAAGUCGCGGGUUCGAAGCCCGCUAGAGUUA